CCUACGGGGGGCAGCAGUGAGGAAUAUUGGUCAAUGGUCGAGAGACUGAACCAGCCAAGUCGCGUGCAGGAUGACGGCCCUACGGGUUGUAAACUGCUUUUAUCGGGGGAUAAAAAGAGUCACGUGUGACGCAUUGUGAGUACCGCAAGAAAAAGCAUCGGCUAAUUCCGUGCCAGCAGCCGCGGUAAUACGGAGGAUGCGGGCGUUAUCCGGAUUUAUUGGGUUUAAGGGGUGCGAAGGCGGAAGUGCAAGCUAGCGGUAAAAUUCCGGGGCUCAACCCGGUACCGGCGGGGAAACUGGCUUGCUUGAGUGCGCGAGAGGUAUGCGGAAUGCGUGGUGUAGCGGUGAAAUGCAUAGAUAUCACGAAGAACUCCGAUUGCGAAGGCAGCAUACGGGCGCGCAACUGACGCUGAUGCACGAAGGCGCGGGUAUCGAACAGGAUUAGAGACCCGUGUAGUC
This 459-nucleotide ribosomal RNA is filed under the name uncultured bacterium. RNAcentral's name for it is "partial 16S ribosomal RNA". It matches the Rfam family "Bacterial small subunit ribosomal RNA", at positions 338 to 795 of the family's 1533-position model. The record is from RNAcentral.